GUGAGCGUAGCUCAGUUGGUAGAGCUCCGGAUUGUGGCUCCGGCGGUCGUGGGUUCGAGCCCCAUCGUUCACC
This 73-nucleotide transfer RNA is filed under the name Marinospirillum alkaliphilum DSM 21637. It matches the Rfam family "tRNA". From Rfam's summary of the family: Transfer RNA (tRNA) molecules are approximately 80 nucleotides in length. Lineage: Bacteria; Pseudomonadati; Pseudomonadota; Gammaproteobacteria; Oceanospirillales; Oceanospirillaceae. The record is from Rfam by way of RNAcentral.